RNAcentral lists this ribosomal RNA (699 nucleotides) under Salmonella enterica subsp. enterica serovar Senftenberg. Its description in RNAcentral is "bacterial LSU rRNA". It matches the Rfam family "Bacterial large subunit ribosomal RNA", at positions 513 to 1211 of the family's 2925-position model. The record is from RNAcentral. Lineage: Bacteria; Pseudomonadati; Pseudomonadota; Gammaproteobacteria; Enterobacterales; Enterobacteriaceae.
GGCGAAAAGAACCCCGGCGAGGGGAGUGAAAAAGAACCUGAAACCGUGUACGUACAAGCAGUGGGAGCACAGGUUUACCUGUGUGACUGCGUACCUUUUGUAUAAUGGGUCAGCGACUUAUAUUCUGUAGCAAGGUUAACCGAAUAGGGGAGCCGGAGGGAAACCGAGUCUUAAUUGGGCGUUAAGUUGCAGGGUAUAGACCCGAAACCCGGUGAUCUAGCCAUGGGCAGGUUGAAGGUUGGGUAACACUAACUGGAGGACCGAACCGACUAAUGUUGAAAAAUUAGCGGAUGACCUGUGGCUGGGGGUGAAAGGCCAAUCAAACCGGGAGAUAGCUGGUUCUCCCCGAAAGCUAUUUAGGUAGCGCCUCGUGAAUUCAUCUCCGGGGGUAGAGCACUGUUUCGGCUAGGGGGCCAUCCCGGCUUACCAACCCGAUGCAAACUGCGAAUACCGGAGAAUGUUAUCACGGGAGACACACGGCGGGUGCUAACGUCCGUCGUGAAGAGGGAAACAACCCAGACCGCCAGCUAAGGUCCCAAAGUCAUGGUUAAGUGGGAAACGAUGUGGGAAGGCCCAGACAGCCAGGAUGUUGGCUUAGAAGCAGCCAUCAUUUAAAGAAAGCGUAAUAGCUCACUGGUCGAGUCGGCCUGCGCGGAAGAUGUAACGGGGCUAAACCAUGCACCGAAGCUGCGGCAGCGA